This 465-nucleotide ribosomal RNA is filed under the name Vreelandella stevensii. RNAcentral describes it as "partial 16S ribosomal RNA". It matches the Rfam family "Bacterial small subunit ribosomal RNA", at positions 338 to 795 of the family's 1533-position model. Lineage: Bacteria; Pseudomonadati; Pseudomonadota; Gammaproteobacteria; Oceanospirillales; Halomonadaceae. The record is from RNAcentral.
CCUACGGGUGGCUGCAGUGGGGAAUAUUGGACAAUGGGGGGAACCCUGAUCCAGCCAUGCCGCGUGUGUGAAGAAGGCCCUCGGGUUGUAAAGCACUUUCAGUGAGGAAGAACGCCUGGUGGUUAAUACCCAUCAGGAAAGACAUCACUCACAGAAGAAGCACCGGCUAACUCCGUGCCAGCAGCCGCGGUAAUACGGAGGGUGCGAGCGUUAAUCGGAAUUACUGGGCGUAAAGCGCGCGUAGGUGGCUUGAUAAGCCGGUUGUGAAAGCCCCGGGCUCAACCUGGGAACGGCAUCCGGAACUGUCAAGCUAGAGUGCAGGAGAGGAAGGUAGAAUUCCCGGUGUAGCGGUGAAAUGCGUAGAUAUCGGGAGGAAUACCAGUGGCGAAGGCGGCCUCCUGGACUGACACUGACACUGAGGUGCGAAAGCGUGGGUAGCAAACAGGAUUAGAUACCCCAGUAGUC